GUGGGGAAUCUUGCGCAAUGGGCGAAAGCCUGACGCAGCCAUGCCGCGUGAAUGAUGAAGGUCUUAGGAUUGUAAAAUUCUUUCACCGGGGACGAUAAUGACGGUACCCGGAGAAGAAGCCCCGGCUAACUUCGUGCCAGCAGCCGCGGUAAUACGAAGGGGGCUAGCGUUGCUCGGAAUUACUGGGCGUAAAGGGCGCGUAGGCGGACAGUUUAGUCAGAGGUGAAAGCCCAGGGCUCAACCUUGGAAUUGCCUUUGAUACUGGCUGUCUUGAGUACGGGGGAGGUGAGUGGAACUCCGAGUGUAGAGGUGAAAAUCGUAGAUAUUCGGAAGAACACCAGUGGCGAAGGCGACUCACUGGCCCGUUACUGACGCUGAGGCGCGAAAGCGUGGGGAGCAAACAGGAUUAGAAACCCCGGUAGUCC
This 425-nucleotide ribosomal RNA is filed under the name uncultured bacterium. Its description in RNAcentral is "bacterial SSU rRNA". It matches the Rfam family "Bacterial small subunit ribosomal RNA", at positions 354 to 796 of the family's 1533-position model. The record is from RNAcentral.